Molecule: non-coding RNA, 25 nt
Filed under: Rattus norvegicus (Norway rat)
Lineage: Eukaryota; Metazoa; Chordata; Mammalia; Rodentia; Muridae
Source: RNAcentral
AUAGAACUACUGAGCCAGUGCAUCC